RNAcentral lists this long non-coding RNA (5142 nucleotides) under Daucus carota (carrot). RNAcentral describes it as "long non-coding RNA (DCAR_LNC003294)". Lineage: Eukaryota; Viridiplantae; Streptophyta; Magnoliopsida; Apiales; Apiaceae. The record is from RNAcentral.
AAGGACCCGACUAACACAAUAUACCGUACACAAGUACAAGAAGAAUAUUUACCUUAGGCGCGCCCAGUCAGGGGGAGGCGCGCUCAUCGAUACAUUGUGCCAGCCGUGGGACUUGCUUCCUUCCGAAACCCUGAGAAAGUCUCCAGAUCCGAGAAUCACGCUUCCCUCAUGUGUUGGCUUCUGGAACCUUCACUCCGAUCUUGCCUUCAUCUUUCGCCCUCACAACCGUGCCUUGUUCAAUAUCGAUAACAAACAACAAUGCUUACCGUUGUCUUCCCCUUCUGAACAUGCUUCUCCAUCGAACCCGUCUUCUUUUCCUUCAUAACGGGCUUCUCUUUCGAUCUCGUCUUCUUCUCCUUCAAGACGGACUUCUCCUUCGAUCCCGUCUUCUUCUCCUUCAUAACGGAAUUCUCCUUCGAUCUUGUCUUCUUCUCCUUCAUAACGUACUUCUCCUUCGAUCCCAUUAUCUAUCCCUUCCGAACAGACUUCUUAGAUAAUUCAUCGGUACUCACCAUGAUUGGCGGCGACCAGGCGAUCGGCGGUCGUAGACUGACGUUGUCUCCAUCUGUUAUCACAAUUGCCUGUUCCUGGGGGGUGUCCCCGACCGUGAUGUCGUCCGUCCAUCGGUGUUGCUUGUCUUUCCAAUGUUGUCUCCACUGGAUCUAGGAUCGGGGUGCUGGUUCCCGUCGGGCGUUCUCUCGCCGUGGUUCGACAUCUUUCUCCUUGAUGGAAAAUCUUGAACUACCCCUCCUUCUAGCGCCAAUUUGUUAACGGAGAAAACUGGUAGGUUAACAAAGAUGAGGUUCGCGGCGUGGAUCAAGAUUCUUGUUGGCGAGAAUGUAGGAAGUGGUUGGUUGUUUGUUAUGGAGGCGGCUGCAAUUGUAAGCAAAGGGUUCGAGAUUGCUAACUGGAAUAGCUCUCAAGAAUGAUCGAUGCCUACAAUCUGCCUACGUACCCCUAUUUAUAGAGGAUCAAGCCGGCACGUAGUUCUUUCUCCUAAGAGACCCAUGUGGACUGGGCCUCCCCUUCUAGAAUCUUCCUCCCGAAAGGGGCCCAAUACGAUGAGGCCUAGCCUUGGGCCUUGCAGACUCUCGAGCACCCAAGGCUUACCCCAAAUGCAUGGACACUACUCCACUCCCCGACAGGGACAACCCGCCAGACUACAGAGGUAGAGCCUUUCAGGGCGCGUCUUCUAUUCUACCUCCACCUCCCAAGGAGGACAACUCCUCAGACUACAAGGUAGGGCCUUCUACAAUUCAACAGUUGGAUUUACUUAUGUUUAAGGGCGUCCCCCUAAACAAAAGCAUCUCCUUCUGUCCUUCUGAACCAUUGCUAACUGAACUGUCUUCGGCAAGAUGGCGCGCCCAAAGAUAGGGCGCGCCCUAUCUUUCUACAGGGUCACUUCUAAAUCGGGUUGAUCUUGAUUCUUCUGGCCCAACCAAGUCUUCUUUUGUGGGCCUGGCCCAUGAAGUCGGUCUUCAUAUAAAUCAUUUUCUUAUAAAGCUGAGAUGUGUCUUCUCCCUCCAAUCAGGGCGCGCCCUCAUGGAGGUCCUUCUGGGUACGGUCAGAUAUGUAGUUGCUGUCAGAUAUGUGGACACGGCCUGAUAUGUGGACGCGGCCUGGCAUGUGGACGCGGCCUGACAUCAUGUGGACGCGGCCUGGCAUGUGGCCACGGCCUGACAUGUGGGCGCGGCCUGACAUCAUGUGGACGCGGCCUGGGAUGUGGGCGCAGCCAGACAUGUGGGAGCGGCCAGACAUGUGGUCGCGGCCUGGCAAGUGGGCGCGGCCUGGCAUGUGGACGCGUCCUGGCAAGUGGGCGCGACCUGGCAUGUGGACGCGCCCUGGCAUUAAAGCGGCCUAGCAUGUGGACGCGCCCUGGCAAGUGGGCGCGGCCUAGCAUGUGAUCCAGCCCAAUCUUGAAUAUGUCAGCCCAAAAUAGUUUUCCACCUAAAGCGCGCCCUUACUAGAGGUUCUUCUGGACGUGGCCAGAUAUGUGGGCGCGCCUACAUAUGAUUGGAGGCCUAACAACCGAGUGAUUGGAGGUCUUUCAUGGAGGCGCCUGUUAAGUUGGCGGCGCCAGUUAAGUGGGCGCGCCCACUUACUGAGCAGCCUAAUUCUGACCAUGUCCGGGCCCAAACAACAUAUCUCCGGUUUUCUAGUGGAUUUGUCUCAUUAGGCAAUCUCAUGUCUUCCUUCCAUCAAGGCGCUCCCAGAUUUUGGGUCUUCUUGGAGGAGCCAAAUAAGUGGGCGCGACCACAUUCUAAGCGGCCUCCAUCAAGUGCUUGUUGAUUUUUUGGUAACUUUCUCUCCCGGCUAGUUGAAUGCCUUGUAAUGGUAUUUUGAAGUUUUGAUCAUUUCUGAAGGCGCGCCUAGAACAAAUGUCGUCUCCAAGAUAUUAAGCUCAAAUUAUACCUCUGGCCUCCAAUAUUUUACUCAUAGCUCGUCUCAGGUUUCAUAGUUUUGUCCAGGUCAACAACUUAUAUGUUGGUAUUUGUCCUCGGUCUUCAGCUUACAUCCUGCGUCUUGUUCUAGGUCUUUGGGCUUCGACUUGCAUUCUCGGUCUUGUUCUGGAUCUUCGGUCUUCGACCUGUAUCCUUGGGCUUGUCUUGCGCCUUCAACCUGUAUCUAAGAGCAUGUCCAGGGUUUCCGACCCGAACUCGGAACUUAUCUUGUGUCUCCGACCUGCACUCGGAGCCUUUCCUGGAUCUCUUGCCUAUACUCGGAGCUUGUCCUGAGUCUCCGACCUAUACCCCGGAAUGUGUUCGGGGACUUCAGCCUUCAACCUGUAACAUGGAGCUUGCCCUAAGUCUUCUCUCACAAUCCUCCACAAUAUAUACCUCCGAGACGAGCUUUCCCUGUAAGUGCUCCAAGCAAUGUGUCUCUACAAAGAGUCCACAUCUGAUUCGAUAGGGUCCUUCCUAGUUAGCAUCGAACACUCCAUGAUUUUGGCACUUUCAUCCCUGACAUCAUCCUGCACUAGGUCUCCCCUAUUCAAAGGAUUGGCCUUGACCUUGCUAUUGUAGAAUCGAGUUGUUCUCUGUUAAUAUGCUGCUUCCUGAGCUGUGACUCGCUUCUGACUUCUUCCAUCAUAUUGGGGGUGAAGCCUCUGAUUAACUUCGUUUGCCUCCUACUCGAAGUUGUCUCUCCUUAAAGAACCUGCUUCAACCUUGACUGGAACCAUUGCCUCAGGAUCUUUAGAGCAAGUGAACUACCCCCCGAGUGAUUGUCACACAUUUCUUCAUGAACUUCCAUCAUCUACCAGGAUGAUAAUGGAGCUGGGCUUCGGAAGAGUCCUUUGUUGGUUGGCUUUAAAGAUGCGUUCUAUUGACGCAACCAAAUGUGUCUAAUGAUUAGAUCUUUCAUCAUAGUCCCGAGGUGGUGUGUAGUUUCUUCUAUAGGUAAUAUUGUCUCUGCUUGGAUGUUGACGUCUGCUUCUAUGUUCCGGGCUGGAAGAUUGUUCUCGUCUCCCGAGGUUGUGUUCUUGUAGUUGACGGGCGAAGGAUCCUUGAUGACUUCGGCAAAGAGUGAUUCUUGACUGGAAGUGACGUUUUUCCUCCAUCAAAGUGGUGUCGAGAUAAUCCUGAGGGUGUUGAUGUCGAUAGCCUCGAUCCCUGGAAUGUUCUGGACAUUAGGUUGGACACGCGUCGUAGAUGGGAUUCUCCCUGUAGUUAUGAGGUCGCUUGGCGGUGGAGCAAGGAGAUUCGAUGACAUGGCAAGAUUUGAUGGAGCAAGGAGAUUUGACGACGAAGCAAGAUUUGAUGAUGAGUUGAUGGUGGAACGAGAAGAUUGCCGAUGUCUGUUGUCGAGUUAUGUGGUUGACUUGAGCAUCUAUGAGAUUGAAGUGGAGCGUGUCUGUGCCUAAGGUGUGCCAUGUUAGAAGGAGGUGCACCUUCUAACAUACUUUUUCCCUGCAAGGGAUACAACCAAUACAACAUAUCGUAUACAAGUGUUAGGAAGAGUAUUUACCUCAGGGCGCUCCCAGUCAGGGGAAGGCGCGCCUAAACUAACAUUCUUCCUCCCUGCAAAGGACCCGACUAACACAAUAUACCGUACACAAGUACAAGAAGAAUAUUUACCUUAGGCGCGCCCAGUCAGGGGGAGGCGCGCUCAUCGAUACAUUGUGCCAGCCGUGGGACUUGCUUCCUUCCGAAACCCUGAGAAAGUCUCCAGAUCCGAGAAUCACGCUUCCCUCAUGUGUUGGCUUCUGGAACCUUCACUCCGAUCUUGCCUUCAUCUUUCGCCCUCACAACCGUGCCUUGUUCAAUAUCGAUAACAAACAACAAUGCUUACCGUUGUCUUCCCCUUCUGAACAUGCUUCUCCAUCGAACCCGUCUUCUUUUCCUUCAUAACGGGCUUCUCUUUCGAUCCCGUCUUCUUCUCCUUCAAGACGGACUUCUCCUUCGAUCCCGUCUUCUUCUCCUUCAUAACGGAAUUCUCCUUCGAUCUUGUCUUCUUCUCCUUCAUAACGUACUUCUCCUUCGAUCCCAUUAUCUAUCCCUUCCGAACAGACUUCUUAGAUAAUUCAUCGGUACUCACCAUGAUUGGCGGCGACCAGGCGAUCGGCGGUCGUAGACUGACGUUGUCUCCAUCUGUUAUCACAAUUGCCUGUUCCUGGGGGGUAUCCCCGACCGUGAUGUCGUCCGUCCAUCGGUGUUGCUUGUCUUUCCAAUGUUGUCUCCACUGGAUCUAGGAUCGGGGUGCUGGUUCCCGUCGGGCGUUCUCUCGCCGUGGUUCGACAUCUUUCUCCUUGAUGGAAAAUCUUGAACUACCCCUCCUUCUAGCGCCAAUUUGUUAACGGAGAAAACUGGUAGGUUAACAAAGAUGAGGUUCGCGGCGUGGAUCAAGAUUCUUGUUGGCGAGAAUGUAGGAAGUGGUUGGUUGUUUGUUAUGGAGGCGGCUGCAAUUGUAAGCAAAGGGUUCGAGAUUGCUAACUGGAAUAGCUCUCAAGAAUGAUCGAUGCCUACAAUCUGCCUACGUACCCCUAUUUAUAGAGGAUCAAGCCGGCACGUAGUUCUUUCUCCUAAGAGACCCAUGUGGACUGGGCCUCCCCUUCUAGAAUCUUCCUCCCGAAAGGGGCCCAAUACGAUGAGGCCUAGCCUUGGGCCUUGCAGACUCUCGAGCACCCAAGGCUUACCCCAAAUG